Molecule: ribosomal RNA, 603 nt
Filed under: uncultured Ilumatobacter sp.
Lineage: Bacteria; Bacillati; Actinomycetota; Acidimicrobiia; Acidimicrobiales; Ilumatobacteraceae
Description: bacterial SSU rRNA
Rfam family: Bacterial small subunit ribosomal RNA
Source: RNAcentral
GAGUUUGAUCCUGGCUCAGGACGAACGCUGGCGGCGUGCUUAACACAUGCAAGUCGAACGAGGUCCAUGGAGUAGCAAUACUCCGGAAGACCUAGUGGCGAACGGGUGCGUAACACGUGAGAAACCAACCCCGGUCUCUGGGAUAACAGGUGGAAACGCCUGCUAAUACCGGAUGCCGUCGUUUCCUCGCAUGGGGAGAUGACGAAAGGGCUACCGGAUCGGGACGGUCUCGCGGCCUAUCAGCUUGUUGGAGAGGUAACGGCUCACCAAGGCAUCGACGGGUAGCUGGUCUGAGAGGAUGAUCAGCCACACUGGGACUGAGACACGGCCCAGACUCCUACGGGAGGCAGCAGUGGGGAAUCUUGCGCAAUGGGCGAAAGCCUGACGCAGCAACGCCGCGUGCGGGAUGAAGGCCUUCGGGUUGUAAACCGCUUUUACCAGGAAGGAAACUGACAGUACCUGGAGAAUAAGGUGCGGCCAACUACGUGCCAGCAGCCGCGGUGACACGUAGGCACCAAAGCGUUGUCCGGAUUUAUUGGGCGUAAAGAGCUCGUAGGCGGUUCAGUAAAUCGGGUGUGAAAACUCUGGGCUUAACCCAGAGAC